CGGCAAAAGCUCAAAUUUGAAAUCCCCCGGGAAUUGUAAUUUGAAGGUGGCCUCAGUUAGUCCAAACAUUCUUAAGUCCAUUGGAAAAUGGCGCCAUGGAGGGUGAUAGCCCCGUAAAGAUGUCGUUUGUUCUAUUUUCUCUGGCCACCAAAGAGUCGAGUUGUUUGGGAAUGCAGCUCUAAGUGGGUGGUAAAUUCCAUCUAAAGCUAAAUAUUGGCGAGAGACCGAUAGCGAACAAGUACAGUGAUGGAAAGAUGAAAAGCACUUUGAAAAGAGAGUGAAAAAGUACGUGAAAUUGUUGAAAGGGAAGGGCUUGCAAGCAGACACAACCUCGUGUUGGGCCAGCAUCGGGGCGAGAGGAAGUAAAAACGAUUUGGAAAUGUAACUUUCGAGUAUUAUAGACCUUAUCC
This 410-nucleotide ribosomal RNA is filed under the name Metschnikowia australis. RNAcentral's name for it is "eukaryotic LSU rRNA". It matches the Rfam family "Eukaryotic large subunit ribosomal RNA", at positions 99 to 542 of the family's 3401-position model. The record is from RNAcentral. Lineage: Eukaryota; Fungi; Ascomycota; Pichiomycetes; Serinales; Metschnikowiaceae.